RNAcentral lists this ribosomal RNA (468 nucleotides) under uncultured bacterium. RNAcentral describes it as "partial 16S ribosomal RNA". It matches the Rfam family "Bacterial small subunit ribosomal RNA", at positions 28 to 507 of the family's 1533-position model. The record is from RNAcentral.
GACGAACGCUGGCGGCGUGCCUAACACAUGCAAGUCGAACGGAAAGGCGCUGCUUUUGUGGGGUGCUCGAUUGGCGAACGGGGGAGUAACACGUGAGUAACCUGCCCUUGACUUUGGGAUAACAUCAGGAAACUGGGGCUAAUACCGGAUAGGAGCUCCUGCUGCGUGGUGGGGGUUGGAAAGUUUCGGCGGUGGGGGCUGGACUCGCGGCUUAUCAGCUGGUUGGUGGGGUAGGGGCAUACCAAGCCUAUGACGGGUAGCCUGCAUGAGAGCGUGACCGGCCACAUUGGGACUGAGGUACGGAGCAGACUCCUACGGGCGGCAGCAGUCGGGAGUCUUGCACAGUGGCGCGACGCGUGAGGCAGCAAUCCCGGGUGCGGGAUGCUGGCUUUCGGGUUGUAAACCGCUGUCGCCUGUGCUGAGGCGUGCGUGACGGUACCGGGUAAAGAAGCACCGGCUAACUACGUG